RNAcentral lists this ribosomal RNA (469 nucleotides) under uncultured bacterium. Its description in RNAcentral is "bacterial SSU rRNA". It matches the Rfam family "Bacterial small subunit ribosomal RNA", at positions 355 to 825 of the family's 1533-position model. The record is from RNAcentral.
UCGAGGAUCUUCCGCAAUGGGCGAAAGCCUGACGGAGCGACACCGCGUGCAGGAUGAAGGCCUUCGGGUUGUAAACUGCUGUCACGCACUAGGAAUCCCCUGCGGUGAAUAGCCGCAGGGUUGACUAAAGCGAGAGGAAGCACCGGCUAACUCUGUGCCAGCAGCCGCGGUAAGACAGAGGGUGCAAACGUUGUUCGGAAUCACUGGGCAUAAAGCGCACGUAGGCCGUCCACUAAGUCGAAUGUGAAAUACCCCGGCUCAACCGGGGAACUGCAUCCGAUACUGGUGGACUCGAGGAUGGUUGGGGUGAGUGGAACUCCAGGUGGAGCGGUGAAAUGCGUAGAUAUCUGGAGGAACACCGGUGGCGAAAGCGGCUCACUGGACCAUCUCUGACGCUGAGGUACGAAAGCUAGGGGAGCGAACGGGAUUAGAUACCCAUGUAGUCCCUGAGCGGGCUGGCAAGGCGCAU